This 242-nucleotide ribosomal RNA is filed under the name uncultured bacterium. Its description in RNAcentral is "partial 16S ribosomal RNA". It matches the Rfam family "Bacterial small subunit ribosomal RNA", at positions 95 to 334 of the family's 1533-position model. The record is from RNAcentral.
UUGGCGAACGGGUGGAGUAACGCGUGAAUAACCUGACUCAAAGAGGGGGGAGUAACAACGGGAAACUGUUGCUAAUACCGCAUGAGACCACAACACCGCAUGAUGAAGGGGUCAAAGAUUUAUCGCUUUGAGAGGGGUUCGCGUCCCAUUAGGUAGUUGGAGGGGUAACGGCCCACCAAGCCAACGAUGGGUAGCCGAGCUGAGAGGCUGAUCGGCCACACUGGAACUGAGACACGGUCCAG